AUGGUGGCGUCUUUGCCGUCAUUACUUUGUUGGAAGCAUUGCCUUGGAGUCAAGUCUGGUGUUGGAAGCAUCUGCUUGGUGGUGGUGUGGUGGAUCUGGAGCGGGCAGCGUCUUGGUGAGCAUGGAGCAUUGGUGGUGAGUCCGUUUGGAGUGGAUCGUCGGUCGACGGUCGCCAUGGUUGGAGAGUGGCAACCACAAAACGGCCAAGUGCAUGAUGAGAUCGACCUCAGCAUCCCAGUCGAUGACAAAGACUUGAUCUGGAGCAACACGGGCACGAUGAAUGAUGAUGAAGAUGUUGCUACCGCGGAUGAAGGUAUUACUGAUGCCGGGAGUGCUAGUCACAUGAGGAAGAGGGGCAGGCAUGCAAACCGCCAAAUUCAGGAACUUGAAGCUAUGUUCCAGCAAUGUCCCCACCCCGAUGAGAAUCUACGUAUCGCCCUCAGCAAGAAGGUGUGCAUGGAUCCUCUUCGGGUCAAGUUCUGGUUCCAGAAUCGACGCAAUGCAAAGAAGAACCAGAAUGAGCGUCAACAGAACAUGGUGCUCCGGACGGAGAACAUUAUGCUAGAAGAAGAGAAUCGAGCCAUGAAGGCCGCAAUACUGAAGAAGACCUGCCCCACAUGCAAAGGCCCGAUGGUGUUCUUUAGGCCGCUGACCCCGGAGCUGCGGCGCCUACACAUGGAGAACGCGAGGCUUAAGGCCGAACUCCUCCACAGGACGGCCUACCUCCACGGUGUCUCUGCUGGAACUGCAGGCUCGUCACGGAUUCUCUGCGAUCUCAACGUCGACCCCGUCAUGCCGCUUCCGCUACGCCAGGACGAUCUCAUGGCGGACACCAUGGGUCACUGUGCUCCCGGCGGCUGCGCAUCCGCCGCCGGCGGCCCGGAGCACGCCGCGCUUGAGAGGCACGUCCUCGCUGCACUCCGCGAGCUCAUGAUGCUGAUGAAGCAGGGCGAGCCAAUGUGGCAGCCGGCAGCCCUGGGCGGCGAGGUGCUCGACCACCAGCUGUAUCGUGCGACCACGCUCCCAGGCUUACUCGAGCUUCCCCCGCCGGGGUUCACGGCGAAUGGCACUCGGGACACUGGCUUGGUUAUGUGCACUGGAGCCGACCUUGUCCGCAUCUUCAUGGACGAGAACUGUUGGUCUGAGACGUUCCCCGAUAUCGUGGCAAGUGUUUCCGCCGACAACAUCGGCCACGGUUGUAUCUGCCAAGGGGGAGUGAUACUGAUGAAGGCAGGCCUUCGGGUGCUGUCGCCAGGGGUGUCGAGUUGCGAUGUGAAGUUCGUGAGGCAAUGCCAGAUGAUAGAGCAAGGCGUUUGGGCCGUGGUGGACGUGUCUCUUGAUGCCAAUGGCACAUCUGAGCUCAGAGCAUGGAACACUGGCCUACCGGGGGCCUGCCGGGUGCUGCCAAGUGGGUGUCUUAUCAAGGACAUGAACAAUGGCUACUGCAAGGUGGCAAUGAUCGUGAACGCGGAGUACGACAAGGGCUUCAUGCGGUCGCCGCUCCACCCGCUGCUGAGCUCAGGGCACACUUUCAGCGCACGCCGCUGGCUGACAUCGCUCCAGAGGAGGUGCGAAUUCCUUGCGCAGCGCUUGAGCCCCGCCUAUGGCAUCAGCAGGGCAGGUGGUGCUAUAACGCCCGAGGGGCGAAACAACGUCCUGGAGCUGGCACGGAGGAUGACGGAGAGCUUCUAUGUAGCCAUCUCUGCGCCCAGGGGCGAGGCGUGGCGCAAGGUCGCCGACUCGCGCGGCAGCUGCGGAGUCGGCGGCGAGUCCUUCCAGCUGGCCAUGCACGUGGUGACUCCGCUCGCUGCACCUGGAGAGCAGGCGGCCGGGCCCGUGCUGUGCGCUACCACGACGGUGUGGCUCCCCGAGAUACCGCCGCAGCGCGUGUUCGACUACAUCUGCGACGUGGAGCGCCGUGGCGAGUGGGACGUGCUUGCCGAGGGCGCACGCGUGCAGGAGGACGCUUCCCUUGCCACGGCCCAGUUCCCUCUUACCGGCGUCUCCAUCCUUCGCCCCACUGUAAUGGGUCGUGGUCGUGGUGGAAGCAGCUGCAACAAGAAGCUCAUCCUGCAGCAGGCUUGCGGCGACGCGCCGUGCAUGGUGGUGGCGUACGCUCCGAUUGACACGGCAGACCUGAAGGACGUGAUGCAUGGGGGCAGACGUGCCUCUCUCUCCCUGCUGCCCUCCGGGUUCUCCAUCCUUCCUGACGGCGUCGGCGACAUACAGACGGAUCCGCUUGAUGCCAACCCCUCCGCGGUCGACCCCAUAGACCACCAGAGGAGCUGCGGAUCUCUCGUCUCUGUCCUGCGGCAGACUCACCUGAUUGGAGGGAACCUCACCGCACAGACCGUCGACAACUUCGGGAAUAAUGUCUCCGGUUCCAUCAUGAAGAUCAAGGAUGCGGUCCAUGCCAAGAGGGUUAUGACCGUCUGA
RNAcentral lists this ribosomal RNA (2436 nucleotides) under Triticum aestivum (bread wheat). RNAcentral's name for it is "partial small subunit ribosomal RNA". Lineage: Eukaryota; Viridiplantae; Streptophyta; Magnoliopsida; Poales; Poaceae. The record is from RNAcentral.